RNAcentral lists this ribosomal RNA (764 nucleotides) under uncultured organism. Its description in RNAcentral is "bacterial SSU rRNA". It matches the Rfam family "Bacterial small subunit ribosomal RNA", at positions 204 to 977 of the family's 1533-position model. The record is from RNAcentral.
AAGCUUUUGCGGUUUGGGAGUGGGCUGCGGCCUAUCAGCUAAUUGGUAAGGUAAUGGCUUACCCAAUGCGAUGACGGGUAGCUGAUGUGAGAGCAUGAUCAGCCUCGAUGGGACUGCGACACGGCCCAUACUCCUACGGGAGGCAGCAGUGAAGAAUCUUCCGCAAUGGACGAAAGUCUGACGGAGCAACACCGCGUGGAGGACGACGGCCUUCGGGUUGUAAACUCCUUUUCUGAGGGAACAAGUAUGAGGGUACCUCAGGAAUAAGGCGCUGCUAACUACGUGCCAGCAGCAGCGGUAAUACGUAGGCGCCAAGCGUUAUCCGGAAUUACUGGGCGUAAAGAGUCUGUAGGCGGCGGAUAAAGUCGAGUGUUAAAUUUUCAUGCUCAACGUGAAAAAUGUACUCGAAACUUAUUUGCUUAGAGUCUGAGAGAGGCUACUGGAAUUCCCAUUGAAGGAGUAAAAUCCGUAGAUAAUGGGAGGAACACCAAAAGCGAAGGCAGGUAGCUGGAUCAGGACUGACGCUGAGAGACGAAAGCGUGGGUAGCGAACAGGAUUAGAUACCCUGGUAGUCCACGCCGUAAACGAUGAGUGCUAGGCGUUGGAGAGUCAUUUCGACCCUUUCCAGUGUCUAAAGUUAACACGUUAAGCACUCCGGCUGGGGAGUACGAGCGCAAGCUUAAAACUCAAAGGAAUAGACGGGGGCCCGCACAAGCGGGUGGAGCAUGUGGUUUAAUUCGACAAUAAGCGAGGAACCUCACCUG